RNAcentral lists this unclassified non-coding RNA (589 nucleotides) under Hevea brasiliensis (rubber tree). The record is from RNAcentral. Lineage: Eukaryota; Viridiplantae; Streptophyta; Magnoliopsida; Malpighiales; Euphorbiaceae.
AGUCAGGGGAAGUAUCAGUUCCUGCAUCAAGAUAAAGGCAAAUUUUGUUAAAAACUACUGUUUCAUUGACUUCCAUGAGAAAAUGAAAUAAAACAAACAAAAUUUAUAAAUGCUAAUGGUAUCACUAGAACCACUGCUGCUGGGAUCCAAUGAAUUGCCCUGGAAUCUGGACACUAUCUUCUUCCAAUACUGGAAAUGCAGUCUACUAUCACAAAAUUAUAUUUCCUAAUGCUUGUCAUCUCUAAUUGUCUAUUGUCUUUUUUGUUUUCCUUUUUUUUUUGUUUUGUGUGUGUGUGUGAAGUGUCAACACAAACACAGACACAGAGGACAAUCGAAAAAAGUUGAUAGUUAAUGGGUUGGGACUUGGGACAAUAAAUUGGAGCAAGAGAAGCAGACUCUAAAACUCUUGUUGUCCAAAAUAAAUUCCCUCAAAAGAUUGACCAGUCUCAACUCUCAACAAUGACUAGAAUAGAAAGUAGACCAAAGUUCAAAUGUGUAAGAUUUUCUCAUCACAUCAUGAGUUGCUUCAUACUGCCCUCAACUCACAUGCAUUUACUCUUUACUGCUUUCUUUCACCCAGAAGGAAGCA